GCGGAAAUAGCUCAGUUGGUAGAGCACGACCUUGCCAAGGUCGGGGUCGGGAGUUCGAGUCUCCUUUUCCGCUCCA
RNAcentral lists this transfer RNA (76 nucleotides) under Pseudomonadales bacterium. RNAcentral describes it as "tRNA-Gly". It matches the Rfam family "tRNA". Rfam says of the family: Transfer RNA (tRNA) molecules are approximately 80 nucleotides in length. Their secondary structure includes four short double-helical elements and three loops (D, anti-codon, and T loops). Lineage: Bacteria; Pseudomonadati; Pseudomonadota; Gammaproteobacteria; Pseudomonadales. The record is from RNAcentral. RNAcentral also lists the same sequence under 1 other name.